Long non-coding RNA from Haliotis rubra (blacklip abalone), 413 nucleotides. RefSeq lists it as uncharacterized. The transcript has 3 exons. NCBI's taxonomy places the organism in Eukaryota, Metazoa, Mollusca, Gastropoda, Lepetellida, Haliotidae. The record is from RefSeq and is a predicted model, not a curated record.
AAUAGCGUUGAUGAUAUCAUAUCGGCGAAACUGUUGCUGAUCUCCACAUCUGGGAUUUGUAUACUUUUCGCUCCGCCAUGCGAGUGAGUGUUGUGAUCACGUGGCUUCCUGUUUAUAUCUGGUAUAUUGCUUGUCACCAGCAGACGACAGAUCUUACAGAUUUUUUGCUAUAUUUGGUUAUAUAGGCAAUUGAUUUGCAUCUGAAGUGGUAUUAACGAUCUCGGCAAGGGCGAAUAUGAGACAAGCAUUCCAGGAUAUACAAACACAUGAUGGAUUUAUGGAGGAAUACAUCAAAUAAUCCAGGAGCUGUGAAUUAUAAAUAUGGAUGACUGCAAAAGCAAAGAAGAAGAUAAUGAAACAAACUGAAAAUGUGUACACGUUUCCAGAAUUAUUAAUAAAAUUGUUGAUUACAA